GAUGAACGCUGGCGGCGUGCCUAAUACAUGCAAGUCGAGCGAACAGACGAGGAGCUUGCUCCUCUGACGUUAGCGGCGGACGGGUGAGUAACACGUGGAUAACCUACCUAUAAGACUGGGAUAACUUCGGGAAACCGGAGCUAAUACCGGAUAAUAUAUUGAACCGCAUGGUUCAAUAGUGAAAGACGGUUUUGCUGUCACUUAUAGAUUGAUCCGCGCCGCAUUAGCUAGUUGGUAAGGUAACGGCUUACCAAGGCGACGAUGCGUAGCCGACCUGAGAGGGAGAUCGGCCACACUGGAACUGAGACACGGUCCAGACUCCUACGGGAGGCAGCAGUAGGGAAUCUUCCGCAAUGGGCGAAUGCCUGACGGAGCAACGCCGCGUGAGUGAUGAAGGUCUUCGGAUCGUAAAACUCUGUUAUUAGGGAAGAACAAAUGUGUAAGUAACUAUGAACGUCUUGACGGUACCUAAUGAGAAAGCCACGGCUAACUACGUG
RNAcentral lists this ribosomal RNA (497 nucleotides) under uncultured bacterium. Its description in RNAcentral is "partial 16S ribosomal RNA". It matches the Rfam family "Bacterial small subunit ribosomal RNA", at positions 28 to 507 of the family's 1533-position model. The record is from RNAcentral.